GAAGAGUGGUAUGGAGCCGCAUUUCAUUAUUAACGUACAAUAAAAAGCUUAAAACAUGCACAACAAAAACCAUACAACAGUUCAUAAACAGUUUGACGUGCUCAAGCAAUUACAUUCUAGACAAGGGAAUCAAUUGAAACAAAAGCUUCAGUUCCAUCACUUCACGCGGAUUUAACGGUAAAUGAACAAAACAUAGAUGCAAAACAUGGAAAAUGACAGAUUUUGGUCUAAAAAUAUCAGACGAGAUGAAUCAUCAGUUGAAGAUAUUUUCAUCUUUAGAGAGAGGAGCUCAAGAUAUUUCAAAAUAUCACAAGAGCUAGCUCAAGAUAUUUUAGUCGCAUAAGAAUAUCCAGCCAAGAUUCAUGCAUGAAUGCUUGCGGCUUCAAGUGUGUUAAGCAUACUAAAAUAUUUAUAAUCUAUCCAAAUCUUAUGACUAAUAUACCCUUGAAAGUUGUUCCGUAAGUCAAGGCCAAAUCUUAUGACUAAUGAAAAAAAUGUUUGAAAACUUUGAAUUUUAACGAUAAGGAUAAAAUAAAGGGAACUUUAACGAAAACCACCCGGUACUGUUCACUUUAACAAAAAACCACAUUUUUACACUAAAAAGUCAAUCCUGGUACUAUUCACUUUACCUUUUAUUUUGUCCUUAUCAUUAAAACUCAAAGUUUUCAAGCCAUUUUCAUUAGUUUUCUUUAAAAUAAAGGGUAAAGUGAAAAGUAUUAUGAUUGACUUUUUAGUGUAAAAAUAUGAUUUUUUGUUAAAAUGAACAGUACCGAUAAUUUUUCGUUAAAAUUACCAUUUUUUAAUUAAUUUUAAAAUUUCCACAUGCACUACAAUUUAAGAGAAAACUGUAGCAAUGAUCCCUUAACUUUAACGCAAUUGAAGCGUUGGUCCUUUAACUCAUCAAAAUGUGCAGCUAUGGUCAUUUUCGCCAACUUUGUCAUAACCUCUGUUAAAAUGACUCGUGGUUGAAGAAUCAUUACUAAGAUUAGGUUAAAGUUGAGAGACUAUUUCUUUAAUUAGGUUAAAGUUGAGGAACCACUGCUAUUGGAUUAAAGUAAAGAACAAUUUUCACUUUUGUUAUCUAUAUUUCUCCCUUAAUUUAGCUUCACGUACAUGGCACGUAACUCAUUUUGACAGAUGUUCUGAUGAAGUUGAUAAAAAAUAUCAUAAAUGCACGUUUUUAUGAGUUAAAGACCAAUGAUUGUGAAAUUUUAGUUAAAAAAUCAUUAUUUCAAUUCAAUCAACGUUGAUAGACCAUUACUACAAUUUACUUCAAAUUUAAACGCCAAAGUUCCCUGUAACCAAAAAGGAAAGGAAAUUCACAUUUUCCUGGAAAUUGCAACUUGUAAGAAUGGAAGAGGUGUAACCACGUAUAGAGAAAACAACUGAAAAAAAGUGAGCUGAGUCAGACCAACAAAUAAAAUGAAAUAUGAGCUGAGCUGCUUUUGAUCACUUGCACUUUUUCUCUUUUCAACUGGAUCCCACCAAACCGACCAUUCCUCAAGAGGGAAUUUAUUUUU
Molecule: long non-coding RNA, 1520 nt
Filed under: Malus domestica (apple)
Lineage: Eukaryota; Viridiplantae; Streptophyta; Magnoliopsida; Rosales; Rosaceae
Description: long non-coding RNA (MDOM_LNC005546)
Source: RNAcentral